This 431-nucleotide ribosomal RNA is filed under the name uncultured bacterium. RNAcentral's name for it is "bacterial SSU rRNA". It matches the Rfam family "Bacterial small subunit ribosomal RNA", at positions 360 to 782 of the family's 1533-position model. The record is from RNAcentral.
AAUCUUGCGCAAUGGGGGAAACCCUGACGCAGCAACGCCGCGUGAGUGAGGAAGGUCUUCGGAUCGUAAAGCUCUGUCGGAUGGAAAGAACCGCAUAGGGGUAAAUAGCUCCUAUGUCUGACGGUACCAUCAAAGGAAGCACCGGCUAACUCCGUGCCAGCAGCCGCGGUAAUACGGGGGGUGCAAGCGUUGUUCGGAAUUAUUGGGCGUAAAGAGCGUGUAGGCGGCCGGAUGUGUCAGAUGUGAAAGCCCUGGGCUUAACCCAGGAAGUGCAUUUGAAACUGUCCGGCUCGAGUAGGGGAGAGGGAAGUGGAAUUCCUGGUGUAGAGGUGAAAUUCGUAGAUAUCAGGAGGAACACCGGUGGCGAAGGCGACUUCCUGGCCCUAUACUGACGCUGAGACGCGAGAGCGUGGGUAGCAAACAGGAUUAGA